RNAcentral lists this long non-coding RNA (1811 nucleotides) under Schizosaccharomyces pombe (fission yeast). The record is from RNAcentral. Lineage: Eukaryota; Fungi; Ascomycota; Schizosaccharomycetes; Schizosaccharomycetales; Schizosaccharomycetaceae.
CACAAAAUCAUCAACAUAAAAGAAUGAUUAAGGAUAUUAAAAGUACAAUUCUUCAUAUGCACAGAUAACAAUUAAUUGGGAAGCAUCUCUUGCAAUUCACCAUUUUCAAUCAUCUCCGAAACAAUAUCUAAACCACCGACGAAUUCACCUUUAAUGUACAAUUGAGGGAAAGUUGGCCAAUCGGAAAACACUUUAAGACCUUGGCGUACAGAAUCAUCAGCCAAUAUGUUAAAAAAUCCAUACUGAACGUUUUGCUCACGAAGUAAUCCAACGAGCUUACGACUAAAACCACAUGCAGGUUCUGAAGGAGUACCCUUUAAAAAGAGCAUAACAUUGUGAGCAUUUGUUAGCGUGCUCAACCUUUCAUUUAGUUCAGAAUCCAACCCAUUUGGAGCUUUAGAGGUAUUGGAAGUAGUGUUGGUAGUCUGAACGGAAUUUACUUGAGUUUCCACGGACGCGUUGGUAGAGGAUAUUUGGGAGAUAAGGGGUUGAAUAUACUCGUCAAUAGCAGCCUUCAAUUUUUGAGGAUUUGCCCCCGAAAUUCUAGCCAAAACUUUUGCUCCGUGGAUUAAAACAAAUAGAGGAACAGCGUUUACAUCAAACGACUCUGCUAUAUCGGAAAAUUUUUCAGCUUCAAUUUUUAAGAAAACGGCAUUUUUCGUGUCCUUUGCAAAUUGAUCAAAGACUUGGUUCAUUUGCUUGCAUGGAGCAGCCCAUGGUGCAUAAAAAUUGAGUAAAAUUAUUUGCUCUUUUCCAUUUUGCAAUAUCUCUUGAAAUUGUUCAACAAAAGUAAUUUCGACGCUCAUUUCCAAUCAAAAUAGCACAGCUUGAGGAAUUAUUUCUUUUCCUACUUUUUUUUUCAAAAACCUAGUUUAUUCUUUUUAAUCAACAAUCAACGCCCUAUUUUUUCCUAGUUGGUUGUCGGCAGGUUCGGCUGAGCAGUGUAGAAAACGUAUCUAGUAAAAUCUCUUCCUUGCACAAUAGGCGACGCAAAUGAUAUAAUUGCAGCAAAAAACAUAUCCAAGUAAAUUACUCGAAAUUUUUUAGUUAAACCACUUUUGAUGUACGUUUUGAUGAUUCUUCUUCACUUUUUUCAUUGUCUAUUCAUUAAACGGCAUUCUCGAUCUCAUUUUUUUAAUUACCAUCGUGACUGAUCAGAUAACUUUAUCCCUCGGUAUUAAAACGUCUGGAAAAUAAUUUUUUCGGCAAAAAAAACUAGUGUGUUGCGCUUAUACUCCGAUUCUACGUAAUACCCAAACAAUUCUGUUAACAUUUUAUUUUUGUAUGUUGUACAUAAAAUUAACAGUCGCUUUACUAGCCAAAUGAGUUUAUAACAAGCGACCAAAACAACCAAGAUGAGAUAUGUUUCAUACUUGAUAAAAACAACAGCAUACACAUUGAUUGAUAUAGUUAAAGUAUUAAAAAAUUGCAUUGUACUGCUCAGGGCAAGCAUUUCUUACACACCUCAUUCUUUUGAUAGUACGCAAAUUGCAGUAAACCAUAUUGAAAGAUAGAAAGAAUAUAUUUCUAAAAUCUUUUUAGUUAUUUGAACAUCUUGAGUUGCCGACUGAACAUAAGUAAAGAAUAGUAUGCAAAUUAUGUUAAAGCUUCACAUAAAUUAUGGGUUUGCAACACGAAUUGACUAUACAGUUUUUCUAUAUUGAGUGUAUAUUCCGCCACAGGGGUACGCCUUCAGCAUACAGAUUAUUUUACCUAUAAUUGUGAGUGUUAUCUGAUUUUUACCAAGAAGCUAUAGUGUUAUGUAGUUUAUUUCACAAAAACCCUAUAACAUCAAAGCUGCGCAUUUGUGC